GAGUGUUCAUUUUGGAGUGACAGAAAAAAGUCAGAUAAAAAUAAGCAACGUGGAAGAGCUUGGAAGUAGCUAGGACCGAACCCCGGAAAAACGCUAGCAGUGUCCUCUCCGAAGGAUGUUUGUCCAUCACUUUUCACCAUCAGCGAGAAGAAUAGAAAUGCUUCGGGAGAAUAGUUACCCAGCCUCCACGGAGCGAGUAUUGUCCCCACCCAGAACCCAGAACUUAUGAAGUUGGUGGGAGAAGGAACAUCAGAAGCGGAGUUUUCACUGACGGUCCUUUCAACCACACUAAGUCGGAGAGAAAUACGGAAAUACUAUACAAAGCAGAAAACUUAAAUUAAAAUUCAGUGGAUCCGGAUUAUUUGCUUCAGUAUACCAUAGCGAUGAUGCGGAGGAACUGGCAUGCAGUGUCAUCCAGUAAAUCGAGAGAUGAAAAUAGAAUUCUACAGGAAGGAACCUGCGCCCACCGUUACGUGAGGAAUGGUGGACAAUCGACAAGGAGGAAAGAUUUUCAAAUAGGAAAACGGAAAUGAACCGGAACAAGGACAACCAGUGGAAAAAUGAUAGUCAGUCUUCCUCUUUGAUAUCUUAUUUGUCGAUGUCGUCUAUAUAGACGAGGAGUAGGAAAAAAAUGUUAUGUAUCGUGAAUUACGAGAUGAGCCAUUUUCUAUAACUUCCUCGAACAGAACGAUUUAGUUGCUGAAGAAUAUACCGCAAAACAUACAUUAGUAUGUUAUUGCUUAAUUGAAGAUAUUAACUUUAGGAGAUAUUUCAGGAAAUAGCUGUAAUAAUUAUGUAUGACUGUCAUAAAGAGUUGGCCUUAAGUAUUAACAACAAUUUUGUAUGUAAUUUAAAAAUCAUUGAUAAUGUAUUCAUCAAGGAAAAGCAUUGAAGAAAACACAUACAUCCAACCGAAUUUCGCGUCGUUCAUUAGAAUGAUGACAAUGUUUUAGUAUUUUUAUAAGCUGCAUUUAGCAUUUUGAAAGGCUUUAUUUAUAUUCAAUGCAUUGAGUUGUAAAUAGUUGUAUUUGGUAUAGUUUUCACUUAUACUAGAGACAGACAGGUUACUCGUAACACCAUUCAAUUCUACCUUUAAUGACAACAGUAAUUACUGUGACAUUGUUACAAUAGGACGAUCACAACUAGUCUGUCUCUAGAAAAGAUAUUUUAGUUACAAGAUAAAUAUUGU
This is a long non-coding RNA of Armigeres subalbatus, 1189 nucleotides long. RefSeq lists it as uncharacterized. The record is from RefSeq and is a predicted model, not a curated record. NCBI's taxonomy places the organism in Eukaryota, Metazoa, Arthropoda, Insecta, Diptera, Culicidae. The transcript is spliced from 4 exons.